This 844-nucleotide ribosomal RNA is filed under the name Escherichia coli. Its description in RNAcentral is "partial 23S ribosomal RNA". It matches the Rfam family "Bacterial large subunit ribosomal RNA", at positions 685 to 1530 of the family's 2925-position model. The record is from RNAcentral. Lineage: Bacteria; Pseudomonadati; Pseudomonadota; Gammaproteobacteria; Enterobacterales; Enterobacteriaceae.
UAACUGGGCGUUAAGUUGCAGGGUAUAGACCCGAAACCCGGUGAUCUAGCCAUGGGCAGGUUGAAGGUUGGGUAACACUAACUGGAGGACCGAACCGACUAAUGUUGAAAAAUUAGCGGAUGACUUGUGGCUGGGGGUGAAAGGCCAAUCAAACCGGGAGAUAGCUGGUUCUCCCCGAAAGCUAUUUAGGUAGCGCCUCGUGAAUUCAUCUCCGGGGGUAGAGCACUGUUUCGGCAAGGGGGUCAUCCCGACUUACCAACCCGAUGCAAACUGCGAAUACCGGAGAAUGUUAUCACGGGAGACACACGGCGGGUGCUAACGUCCGUCGUGAAGAGGGAAACAACCCAGACCGCCAGCUAAGGUCCCAAAGUCAUGGUUAAGUGGGAAACGAUGUGGGAAGGCCCAGACAGCCAGGAUGUUGGCUUAGAAGCAGCCAUCAUUUAAAGAAAGCGUAAUAGCUCACUGGUCGAGUCGGCCUGCGCGGAAGAUGUAACGGGGCUAAACCAUGCACCGAAGCUGCGGCAGCGACGCUUAUGCGUUGUUGGGUAGGGGAGCGUUCUGUAAGCCUGUGAAGGUGUGCUGUGAGGCAUGCUGGAGGUAUCAGAAGUGCGAAUGCUGACAUAAGUAACGAUAAAGCGGGUGAAAAGCCCGCUCGCCGGAAGACCAAGGGUUCCUGUCCAACGUUAAUCGGGGCAGGGUGAGUCGACCCCUAAGGCGAGGCCGAAAGGCGUAGUCGAUGGGAAACAGGUUAAUAUUCCUGUACUUGGUGUUAUUGCGAAGGGGGGACGGAGAAGGCUAUGUUGGCCGGGCGACGGUUGUCCCGGUUUAAGCGUGUAGGCUGGUU